Non-coding RNA from Acanthosepion pharaonis, 112 nucleotides. The record is from the annotation of a GenBank genome assembly. NCBI's taxonomy places the organism in Eukaryota, Metazoa, Mollusca, Cephalopoda, Sepiida, Sepiidae.
UACGGCCACAUCACGUUGGGACACCGGUUACCGUACGAUCUCUGAAGGUAAGAAACGUCGCCCCUGGUCAGUACAUAGAUAGGUGACCGCUUAAGAAUACCAGUUGCUGUAA